RNAcentral lists this ribosomal RNA (529 nucleotides) under uncultured bacterium. RNAcentral describes it as "partial 16S ribosomal RNA". It matches the Rfam family "Bacterial small subunit ribosomal RNA", at positions 355 to 900 of the family's 1533-position model. The record is from RNAcentral.
UGGGGAAUAUUGCACAAUGGGCGAAAGCCUGAUGCAGCAACGCCGCGUGAGUGAUGAAGGUCUUCGGAUUGUAAAGCUCUGUCUUUUGGGACGAUAAUGACGGUACCAAAGGAGGAAGCCACGGCUAACUACGUGCCAGCAGCCGCGGUAAUACGUAGGUGGCGAGCGUUGUCCGGAUUUACUGGGCGUAAAGGGUGCGUAGGCGGAUGUUUAAGUGAGAUGUGAAAUACCCGGGCUUAACUUGGGUGCUGCAUUUCAAACUGGAUAUCUAGAGUGCAGGAGAGGAGAAUGGAAUUCCUAGUGUAGCGGUGAAAUGCGUAGAGAUUAGGAAGAACACCAGUGGCGAAGGCGAUUCUCUGGACUGUAACUGACGCUGAGGCACGAAAGCGUGGGUAGCAAACAGGAUUAGAUACCCUGGUAGUCCACGCCGUAAACGAUGAGUACUAGGUGUAGGAGGUAUCGACCCCUUCUGUGCCGCAGUAAACACAUUAAGUACUCCGCCUGGGAAGUACGAUCGCAAGGUUAAAAC